CACAAUCUUUCAUUUUCCUCUUCCUCAGUAAGCAUUAUCAAUUCACAUUUUAAACAAGCAAAUCGUAAUUCAUGCCAAACAGACAACAUACAGUAUCAGUUUUUCAGUCAUUCAACCCAUAAUUAAUAAAAACGUAGUAUAUGCACACAAAUCUGUAAAAUGAACACAUCAAACCUCAUUUUGCAUUUAAAGCUGUAAACAUGCCAAAUAACAGUAAAUCACCAAUCACACCAUACUCGGGCUCCAUUAGCCACCUUACGCAAUUUCACAUAUUCGUUAAUUCAAGAAAUAUCGUUUUAUCAUUUUGAACUUUAAUACCGUGAUAGGAAAUAGGGUGAGGGGUCCUUACUUGUUUUCGGGAUCCGAAUACGAUUCACAGUGCACCUACAGGCCGUCCCUAAUUUUUCCUGAAUUUUUCCCGGGGAACUGAAACACACUAACGGUACCUGCACGUGUUCCAAAAAAUCUCAAAUUAGGCUCAGGGCCCCUUUUUGGCCAAUAUCGCAACUCCGGCACGGCGGCUCCGCCGUGCUCCGGCGACGGCGCCGCCGCAAGCGGCGGCGAUUCGCCUCGAGUUGCUGUUUUCGGUCAUUUUCGGCCGAAUUCGGCCACACUCGCAUCGGUCCCUGCGAGAAAACAACCCUAGGGCCCUCGGGGGGCCAAAAAAUCACGGAGAAGCGGAGCUUACCGGCGGCGGCACUCUCGGGUGCGGCGGCUCUCCGGCGAGCGGCAGGCGGCUAGAGUUUGUAGUCUAGUGUGGGGGUUCUAUUUAUAACCCCUUGCCUUUUGAUCUCAGCCGUCCAUUUCGUUUUAAUCUGGGCCGUUCGUUUUUGAUUGAAUCUGGACCGUCCGUGCGAUUGCAUCUGGGCCGUCCGAUCGCGCGAUUGAUCUGGGCCGUCCGAUCGCACCCACGCGGAUCGCCAACGUGGCCCCUUUUCGAAGCGACGUGGUCUUGCCACGUGGCAGGCCCUGGUUGGCCGGGACUGCUGAUCGGGCCUGCUGACGUGGCUGCCGACGUGGCUUUUUUUUUUUUUUUUUUCGGUCCGGGCGCUACAAGUUCCAUGUAAUUACUUGUAAAUAA
Molecule: long non-coding RNA, 1081 nt
Filed under: Carica papaya (papaya)
Lineage: Eukaryota; Viridiplantae; Streptophyta; Magnoliopsida; Brassicales; Caricaceae
Description: long non-coding RNA (CPAP_LNC004420)
Source: RNAcentral